RNAcentral lists this ribosomal RNA (469 nucleotides) under uncultured bacterium. RNAcentral describes it as "partial 16S ribosomal RNA". It matches the Rfam family "Bacterial small subunit ribosomal RNA", at positions 28 to 508 of the family's 1533-position model. The record is from RNAcentral.
GACGAACACUGGCGGCGUGCUUAACACAUGCAAGUCGAACGGAAAGGCCCUGCUUUUGUGGGGUGCUCGAGUGGCGAACGGGUGAGUAACACGUGAGUAACCUGCCCUUGACUUUGGGAUAACUUCAGGAAACUGGGGCUAAUACCGGAUAGGAGCUCCUGCUGCAUGGUGGGGGUUGGAAAGUUUCGGCGGUUGGGGAUGGACUCGCGGCUUAUCAGCUUGUUGGUGGGGUAGUGGCUUACCAAGGCUUUGACGGGUAGCCGGCCUGAGAGGGUGACCGGCCACAUUGGGACUGAGAUACGGCCCAGACUCCUACGGGAGGCAGCAGUGGGGAAUAUUGCACAAUGGGCGGAAGCCUGAUGCAGCAACGCCGCGUGCGGGAUGACGGCCUUCGGGUUGUAAACCGCUUUCGCCUGUGACGAAGCGUGAGUGACGGUAAUGGGUAAAGAAGCACCGGCUAACUACGUGC